AGAGUUUGAUCCUGGCUCAGGAUGAACGCUGGCGGCGUGCUUAACACAUGCAAGUCGAACGGUGAAGCAGAGCUUGCUCUGUGGAUCAGUGGCGAACGGGUGAGUAACACGUGAGCAACCUGCCCCUGACUCUGGGAUAAGCGCUGGAAACGGCGUCUAAUACCGGAUAUGAGCUGCGAUCGCAUGGUCAGCAGUUGGAAAGAUUUUUCGGUCUGGGAUGGGCUCACGGCCUAUCAGCUUGUUGGUGAGGUAAUGGCUCACCAAGGCGUCGACGGGUAGCCGGCCUGAGAGGGUGACCGGCCACACUGGGACUGAGACACGGCCCAGACUCCUACGGGAGGCAGCAGUGGGGAAUAUUGCACAAUGGGCGAAAGCCUGAUGCAGCAACGCCGCGUGAGGGAUGACGGCCUUCGGGUUGUAAACCUCUUUUAGCAGGGAAGAAGCGAAAGUGACGGUACCUGCAGAAAAAGCGCCGGCUAACUACGUGCCAGCAGCCGCGGUAAUACGUAGGGCGCAAGCGUUAUCCGGAAUUAUUGGGCGUAAAGAGCUCGUAGGCGGUUUGUCGCGUCUGCUGUGAAAUCCCGAGGCUCAACCUCGGGU
Molecule: ribosomal RNA, 600 nt
Filed under: uncultured marine bacterium
Lineage: Bacteria
Description: bacterial SSU rRNA
Rfam family: Bacterial small subunit ribosomal RNA
Source: RNAcentral